Molecule: transfer RNA, 96 nt
Organism: Microsporum canis CBS 113480
Lineage: Eukaryota; Fungi; Ascomycota; Eurotiomycetes; Onygenales; Arthrodermataceae
Rfam family: tRNA
About the family: Transfer RNA (tRNA) molecules are approximately 80 nucleotides in length.
Source: Rfam
UCCUUGAUGGUCUAGUGGUCAUGAUUUCCGCUUGUCAAUUCUUUACUUUGAGGAUAACAAGCGCGGGAGACCGGGGUUCGAUUCCCCGUCAGGGAG